Meriones unguiculatus (Mongolian gerbil) is the source of this 1620-nucleotide long non-coding RNA. RefSeq lists it as uncharacterized. The record is from RefSeq and is a predicted model, not a curated record. The transcript has 2 exons. Lineage: Eukaryota; Metazoa; Chordata; Mammalia; Rodentia; Muridae.
UCAUGCUUGCUUAGCAAGUUGUUAAGAUAUAUUAGGCAAAGACUAGGGACUAUAGAGUUAAUGGUAAUGAGAUCCCAAUACUGUCAGCUUGAAGAUGACCUUGAACUGUAAGAGCCCAAGAUUGGCCUCUUCAGGUACAUGGAAAAGGGGGAAUGAAGAGUUUAAGUUAGCCUGGGUAUAAUUCCAUUUUGAAAUAAAAAGUCAUCUUGACUGGAGCUGACUUCAGGUAACAAGAAAUAUCACAGAAUGUACACUUGGCAGAAAACAAAGUUAACUCUCCUAACAACAGCCUCCAGGAAAUAAUACAGAAUAAAUGCUUCAUAGGAAAUAGAGACAAUCACUUCCUGCCUCAGCUGGCUCUCCAGUGAGUCUAUGUGGUUUGAAUAGUGGCCUCUACCUAGGGAAAAACUUGAAGCAUUCACACAAUUAGAAGAACAACUGCAGCUUCAUCCUAUGCACCCUUCCCAUAUCCAUGGAAAACCCCCGUGUUUGCUAUAAAAAAAGAGUGUAGGGGGAUGAAGACUGUUACGAGAUUUAAGGGACAUUAAAUCUUGAUCAUGAGAGUCUGGGAGACCCCUCAAGGAUGCUACCCCUCAUUCUGCCAUUUCUGCCAACAUCCCUCUCUUAGCAAUAGAUAUUAAAGACUGCGUUUUCUCUAUCCUUCUCCACCCACAGGAUUGACAACACUUUAAAAAUUUUAAAUCUCAGUGAGACAAUGCUUCUGAAAAGCAUCCGAUUUUAUUAAAAAUUGCUAAAUUAGAUCAGCAUAUAGAAGUCCUAACUUCAGAAUGGAAGAAAGAAAAUAUGUUAUAUUGGGCAAGAGGCUUUGUAUUUGUAUCAACAUGAGAAGAAAAACUAUGGAUUCCACCCAAAUUGAUAAAAAUUACAUAUGACUGGGGGAGCCCUCCUGAAGAUCUUGGCUGCAGACAGGAAGAAGGAAAUCAAGAAGACCAAGAAAACAGCAAGAGGAACUAAGACAGGCAACCACAACGGAUCCUGACUGAACCUCUAUGAUCAGAAGCAUCAUUCAGAGAACAAAUCCCCAAUAUAUGCAGGAGAAUGUUGUUUUAUCCCAGAGACAUGUUACAGACAUCUGAGAUGCAGCUACUUUGGGGGUUGGUGAGUGGCUACUGUGCUAAGAGCUGAAAUUGACCAAAUUAACUACAAUUUACUACCCUAGCCUUCCGCUAGGAUGUUGCAAGCCCUUAGUAGUUGCCAGAAUUCCAAAACUGUUGCAUCAGACAGUUCUGUCAGUCUAGUUGUUAUCUAAGUAGUGAGACUGAUUCCUGGUGCUUCUUAUUUUCCUGUUCCUCUAACAUAUUUUAGAAAUUAACCCAAUUUCUUUUAACAACCAUUAAUUUGGUUACUUGUAAUUUUUCAAUACUUUAUACAUUAAUAUAUAUAUCCACAUAAGAGAUUGCUGUAUAUCUGUGCAUAACUUUCUAUAGGACAAAUUCCUAGAAGCAGACUGGCUUAGCCAUUAGUAGAGUUUGAUAAACUGACCUAAAUAUCAGUCAUUUACAUUUCUGUCAACAAUGCAUGAAAGUACUUAGUUUGAAAUGUUUUAAAAUCCUUUGUUCCCCUAAUUCUUAAUAAACUUUGCCUCUGAGCUUUGUUAUA